This 207-nucleotide ribosomal RNA is filed under the name uncultured bacterium. RNAcentral's name for it is "partial 16S ribosomal RNA". It matches the Rfam family "Bacterial small subunit ribosomal RNA", at positions 568 to 774 of the family's 1533-position model. The record is from RNAcentral.
UACGUAGGCGGACUAGUCAGUCAGAGGUGAAAUCCCGGGGCUCAACCCCGGAACUGCCUUUGAUACUGCUAGUCUUGAGUUAUGGAGAGGUAAGUGGAAUUCCUAGUGUAGAGGUGAAAUUCGUAGAUAUUAGGAGGAACACCAGAGGCGAAGGCGGCUUACUGGACAUAUACUGACGCUGAGGUACGAAAGUGUGGGGAGCGAACG